CCUACGGGAGGCAGCAGUGGGGAAUAUUGGACAAUGGGCGAAAGCCUGAUCCAGCAAUGCCGCGUGAGUGAUGAAGGCCUUAGGGUUGUAAAGCUCUUUUACCAGGGAUGAUAAUGACAGUACCUGGAGAAUAAGCUCCGGCUAACUCCGUGCCAGCAGCCGCGGUAAUACGGAGGGAGCUAGCGUUGUUCGGAAUUACUGGGCGUAAAGCGUGCGUAGGCGGUGAUUCAAGUCAGAGGUGAAAGCCUGGAGCUCAACUCCAGAACGGCCUUUGAAACUAGAUCGCUAGAAUUAUGGAGAGGUAAGUGGAAUUCCGAGUGUAGAGGUGAAAUUCGUAGAUAUUCGGAAGAACACCAGUGGCGAAGGCGACUUACUGGACAUAUAUUGACGCUGAGGUACGAAAGCGUGGGGAGCAAACAGGAUUAGAUACCCUGGUAGUCCACGCCGUAAACGAUGAUAACUAGCUGUUCGGGCUCUCAGAGCUUGAGUGGCGCAGCUAACGCAUUAAGUUAUCCGCCUGGGGAUACGGUCGCAAGAUUAAAACUAGAAAUGACGUGNGNGNGAGCAGCCAAGCAGGAUUAGGG
RNAcentral lists this ribosomal RNA (584 nucleotides) under uncultured bacterium. Its description in RNAcentral is "bacterial SSU rRNA". It matches the Rfam family "Bacterial small subunit ribosomal RNA", at positions 338 to 945 of the family's 1533-position model. The record is from RNAcentral.